AAUGGGGAAACCCAACAUGAGUUAUGUCAUGUUAUCGAUAUGUGAAUACAUAGCAUAUCAGAAGGCACACCCGGAGAACUGAAACAUCUUAGUACCCGGAGGAAGAGAAAGAAAAAUCGAUUCCCUUAGUAGCGGCGAGCGAAACGGGAAGAGCCCAAACCAACAAGCUUGCUUGUUGGGGUUGUAGGACACUCUAUACGGAGUUACAAAGGACGACAUUAGACGAAUCAUCUGGAAAGAUGA
This 243-nucleotide ribosomal RNA is filed under the name Staphylococcus aureus. RNAcentral describes it as "partial 23S ribosomal RNA". It matches the Rfam family "Bacterial large subunit ribosomal RNA", at positions 117 to 353 of the family's 2925-position model. The record is from RNAcentral. Lineage: Bacteria; Bacillati; Bacillota; Bacilli; Caryophanales; Staphylococcaceae.